CUUGUCCAGUUAAGUAAAUAAUUAUUAUGAUCUAAAAUGUGAAUAAAUAUUGCUAAAAAUUGAAUUGAAAAUGAGUAGCAAAGAAAAGAAAAAAAAAUGAAUUAAAAUUACAAUUUUGACCUCAUGCUUAUGUCACUAAGCACUCUCACCCAAUCACAUUGUGACACAUGUCCAUAAACCAAUUAAAAUGAGUCAAAUGGGCAGAAAAUUGAAAGGAAAAACUGAAUUCUUCUUCUUCAAUUCCCGUAUACCAAAUCAAGAAGCUUUCUCUCCAUUUUUUUUCUUUUAAAGGUUGAUUUUCCUAAGCUUCCUCACCUCAAAACCUUAUCCUUCCUUCACAAAAAGUUAUACCCACAUCAAGGACAAGUGUUUGGCAACCAAGAAAAGCCAAGAAAGUGAAGGAAUUGCUUGGGAAAAUUCUGCUCAAAUUAAGGUACUGGAGACCCCGAUCGUGAGCCCAGUAGACCACAGACUGGGUGAGGCCAUCCGACAGUUCUGCUCAGUGUCUGUGUCACCUCGUCACCUGCAGUGCAUUGGUAGGACACUAGAUGCCAUUUUGUCAUCUUGUAAUUAACUUUUUAUUUUCUCAUAUGUAUUUAGGAUUUAUGUAAUGUAUUUUGAGGUUCAUGUAAAUAAUAAAGAUUUAUGGUUAUGUAUGGUAUUAAUUUGAGUAUUUAAUGGUUGUUUAUGUAUGAGAACCCUGAGAAAGGGAUGUUUUGAAAAAUGAAAAGGUUGUUGAGACCUGAAAUUGACAAAUUACCGAGAUAUUGAUAUUGAGUUUUAUUGAUGA
This is a long non-coding RNA of Hevea brasiliensis (rubber tree), 790 nucleotides long. RefSeq lists it as uncharacterized. NCBI's taxonomy places the organism in Eukaryota, Viridiplantae, Streptophyta, Magnoliopsida, Malpighiales, Euphorbiaceae. The record is from RefSeq and is a predicted model, not a curated record. The transcript has 2 exons.